ACUGCUGCCUCCCGUAGGAGUAGGGGGAAUCUUCCACAAUGGACGCAAGUCUGAUGGAGCAACGCCGCGUGAGUGAAGAAGGCUUUCGGGUCGUAAAACUCUGUUGUUGGAGAAGAAUGGUCGGCAGAGUAACUGUUGUCGGCNNGACGGUAUCCAACCAGAAAGCCACGGCUAACUACNUGCCAGCAGCCGCGGUAAUAC
Molecule: ribosomal RNA, 201 nt
Filed under: Lactobacillus sp. L32
Lineage: Bacteria; Bacillati; Bacillota; Bacilli; Lactobacillales; Lactobacillaceae
Description: partial 16S ribosomal RNA
Rfam family: Bacterial small subunit ribosomal RNA
Source: RNAcentral